Molecule: non-coding RNA, 193 nt
Filed under: Paenirhodobacter enshiensis
Lineage: Bacteria; Pseudomonadati; Pseudomonadota; Alphaproteobacteria; Rhodobacterales
Source: RNAcentral
GCAUUCCGGGCGGGCUUCGGUUCCGGGUGUGCCCGGUGAAAAGGGAAUGCGGUGCGGCGCCUCGCCAAGUCCGCGACUGUCCCCGCAACUGUAAGCGGCGAGCGAGGGCGCAACGGCCACCGGCUGCAACCGGGAAGGCGCGUCCGGGCGAUGACCCGCAAGUCAGGAGACCUGCCGCAGCCUCACCCGAUCC